This 370-nucleotide ribosomal RNA is filed under the name uncultured bacterium. RNAcentral describes it as "bacterial SSU rRNA". It matches the Rfam family "Bacterial small subunit ribosomal RNA", at positions 527 to 896 of the family's 1533-position model. The record is from RNAcentral.
GUAGGAUGCAAGCGUUGUCCGGAAUUAUUGGGCGUAAAGAGCGAGCAGGCGGUUCGACAAGUCAGAUGUAAAAUAUCCCGGCUUAACCGGGAGGGGCCAUUUGAAACUGUCGGACUAGAGUGGAGCAGAGGAUAGUGGAAUUCCCGGUGUAGUGGUGAAAUGCGUAGAUAUCGGGAGGAAUACCGAUGGCGAAGGCAGGUCUCUGGGCUGACACUGACGCUCAUGCACGAAAGCGUGGGGAGCAAACAGGAUUAGAUACCCUGGUAGUCCACGCCCUAAACGAUGUCGACUGGUUGUUGGGGGUUUGACACUCUCAGUAACGAAGCUAACGCGUGAAGUCGACCGCCUGGGGAGUACGGCCGCAAGGUUA